UACGGAGGGUGCGAGCGUUGUCCGGAAUCACUGGGCUUAAAGGGCGCGUAGGCGGUCCGACAAGUCAGGGGUGAAAUCCUGCAGCUUAACUGCAGAAGUGCCUUUGAUACUGUCGGUCUUGAGGGAGAUAGGGGUGUGCGGAACUCACAGUGGAGCGGUGAAAUGCGUUGAUAUUGUGAGGAACGCCGGAGGCGAAAGCGGCGCACUGGAUCUCUUCUGACGCUGAGGCGCGAAAGCUAGGGGAGCAAACGGG
This 253-nucleotide ribosomal RNA is filed under the name uncultured bacterium. Its description in RNAcentral is "partial 16S ribosomal RNA". It matches the Rfam family "Bacterial small subunit ribosomal RNA", at positions 524 to 776 of the family's 1533-position model. The record is from RNAcentral.